GAAAAGAAAACAAAGGUCAGAACCUUGGAGAACAUCUUCUUUAGAACUUUACUACUUAGAAGCGUGGCCAAUGACCCAGCAGCCUUGCCAGGGGGUUAGAAUGGUAGAAUUUCAGGCCCCUCAACCCUGAAACAUGCUAAAUCAGCACCCUCAAUUUAACAAGAACUCUAAGUGAUUUGUAUUACAUCAUAGUUUGAGAAACUCUGACCUAGAUAAGAGAAGCCAACAAAUAAAGAAGGGAUCUAAUCUAGAUGAGGGAAGCCAGGAAAGAAAGAGGCAAGAGGAAGUAAGAGGAGAACCAGGGUAAUGCAAAAUCACCAAAGCAAGGUGGAUUAUCAAGAUGACUACAAGGCCCUGGUGUUGAUAGAGCCACAAAAAAGAAGGCGUCCGGAUGGAGAGUUGCCCGCUGAUCUGGAACCCCCACCGUCAAUUAUUAUAGCUAUUUGAAUCCUGGAACUUUGUGGGGAAUGAGAGGCACUUCAAAGGAAAAGGAGGUUAAAUUUCCAAUCUAUCUAAAGAAUAGUUAAUGUGACUUCCAGAACUCCUGUUUUGGAAUUCAGGGGAAAGGUACCGUGUCAGCAAAAAUGGAGGGAGAGAUUGGCUCUGCCUGGGAAAUGGAAGAAAUGUCAGUGCUGGCCUCACAGAGCCCUGGAUGCUCUCCUGGGGUUUAGAGAAGAUGCUACUACCCACCACUAAUGCUUAGCAGGAAUAAGGAAGGAGGCCAGGAACCAAAGUGGGUUGGUCCACAUUACCAUCUCUUACUAGUCCCUGAUGGGUCUAAGAAUAGAUUAUAUUCCAAUGUUAAAAAUCUUGAAAUCAAUUAUGUCCCAAGGCUUUAGUUCAGCUUAACAUUUCAACAGAAAAGAGCCUGGAAGCUACUGCCAGGUCUACUUUGACAAUUGGGUCACCAUCGUAAUCUUCACCAGAUUUCAUGAAUGAUGAGCCUCCCUGAUACUUAUCAGCCAAACAGAACAAAACUGAUUUCUCUUGGCCUUCGGAUUCUUCAUCAUCACUGUUGUCAGAAAAUUGGCAGUGGAGGACUUCAUCUUGUUCUUCUAAGUGACCCA
Long non-coding RNA from Mustela erminea (ermine), 1067 nucleotides. RefSeq lists it as uncharacterized. The record is from RefSeq and is a predicted model, not a curated record. Lineage: Eukaryota; Metazoa; Chordata; Mammalia; Carnivora; Mustelidae. The transcript is spliced from 9 exons.